CCUACGGGUGGCUGCAGUAGGGAAUCUUCCGCAAUGGACGAAAGUCUGACGGAGCAACGCCGCGUGAGCGAAGAAGGCCUUCGGGUCGUAAAGCUCUGUUGUUAGGGACGAACAAGUACCGGAGUAACUGCCGGUACCGUGACGGUACCUAACCAGAAAGCCACGGCUAACUACGUGCCAGCAGCCGCGGUAAUCCGUAGGUGGCAAGCGUUGUCCGGUAUUAUUGGGCGUAAAGCGCGCGCAGGCGGUCCCUUAAGUCUGAUGUGAAAGCCCCCGGCGUAAACGGGGAGGGUCAUUGGAAGCUGGGGGACUGGAGUGCAGAAGAGAAGAGCGGAAUUCCACGUGUAGCGGUGAAAUGCGUAGAGAUGUGGAGGAACACCAGUGGCGAAGGCGGCUCUUUGGUCUGUAACUGACGCUGAGGCGCGAAAGCGUGGGGAGCAAACAGGAUUAGAUACCCUAGUAGUC
RNAcentral lists this ribosomal RNA (465 nucleotides) under uncultured bacterium. RNAcentral's name for it is "bacterial SSU rRNA". It matches the Rfam family "Bacterial small subunit ribosomal RNA", at positions 338 to 795 of the family's 1533-position model. The record is from RNAcentral.